RNAcentral lists this ribosomal RNA (579 nucleotides) under Staphylococcus aureus. RNAcentral's name for it is "bacterial SSU rRNA". It matches the Rfam family "Bacterial small subunit ribosomal RNA", at positions 1 to 562 of the family's 1533-position model. Lineage: Bacteria; Bacillati; Bacillota; Bacilli; Caryophanales; Staphylococcaceae. The record is from RNAcentral.
UUUAUGGAGAGUUUGAUCCUGGCUCAGGAUGAACGCUGGCGGCGUGCCUAAUACAUGCAAGUCGAGCGAACGGACGAGAAGCUUGCUUCUCUGAUGUUAGCGGCGGACGGGUGAGUAACACGUGGAUAACCUACCUAUAAGACUGGGAUAACUUCGGGAAACCGGAGCUAAUACCGGAUAAUAUUUUGAACCGCAUGGUUCAAAAGUAAAAGACGGUCUUGCUGUCACUUAUAGAUGGAUCCGCGCUGCAUUAGCUAGUUGGUAAGGUAACGGCUUACCAAGGCAACGAUGCAUAGCCGACCUGAGAGGGUGAUCGGCCACACUGGAACUGAGACACGGUCCAGACUCCUACGGGAGGCAGCAGUAGGGAAUCUUCCGCAAUGGGCGAAAGCCUGACGGAGCAACGCCGCGUGAGUGAUGAAGGUCUUCGGAUCGUAAAACUCUGUUAUUAGGGAAGAACAUAUGUGUAAGUAACUGUGCACAUCUUGACGGUACCUAAUCAGAAAGCCACGGCUAACUACGUGCCAGCAGCCGCGGUAAUACGUAGGUGGCAAGCGUUAUCCGGAAUUAUUGGGCGUA